UUCCAGUGUCCAACCAACUGUCCAGCAGGUGUGAAAGGUCCUCAAGGUCUUCAGGGAGUGAAGAGGCAUCCCGGAAAACGGGGUAUUCUGGGUGAUCCUGGCCAUCAGGGAAAGCCGGGCCCCAAGGGAGAUGUGGGUGCCUCUGGAGAACAAGGCAUCCCUGGACCAC
Molecule: long non-coding RNA, 169 nt
Organism: Nannospalax galili (Upper Galilee mountains blind mole rat)
Lineage: Eukaryota; Metazoa; Chordata; Mammalia; Rodentia; Spalacidae
Exons: 3
Source: RefSeq, a predicted model, not a curated record